RNAcentral lists this ribosomal RNA (253 nucleotides) under uncultured bacterium. Its description in RNAcentral is "partial 16S ribosomal RNA". It matches the Rfam family "Bacterial small subunit ribosomal RNA", at positions 524 to 776 of the family's 1533-position model. The record is from RNAcentral.
UACAGAGGGCUCAAGCGUUGUUCGGAUUCAUUGGGCGUAAAGGGUGCGUAGGUGGCGCUGUAAGUCAGGUGUGAAAUUUCGGAGCUUAACUCCGAAACUGCAUUUGAUACUGCGGUGCUUGAGGACUGGAGAGGAGACUGGAAUUCACGGUGUAGCAGUGAAAUGCGUAGAGAUCGUGAGGAAGACCAGUGGCGAAGGCGGGUCUCUGGACAGUUCCUGACACUGAGGCACGAAGGCCAGGGGAGCAAACGGG